AAAAAAAAGAAAAAAGAAAAAAAAGAAACAUCAUAGCCAUUGUACAUUAAGCAGAAUGACCAUGGUGGGCACUAGUGUGAUAUGCAAUGAGAGAAAUCACAGAGGUCAGAUGAUGCAGAGCUUUGAAGGCCAUUGCGAGAACAUUCUAAACAAGAUGGGAAGCUGACACAGGGUUGAUAGCAGAGGAGUAAUAAACCACAAUACGUUUUUACAUUUUAAAGGGUGCCUUCUGUGCUGUGUUGAGGACAGACUGUAGUGUGGAGAGUGCUGCAGCAGAGAGAGAACUCUUGGGAGGCUCUUACAAUCAUUUAAGCUAGAGACAAUAGACUAAGAGGGUCAGUAUUCCACAACGCACCUUCUGGAGCACACAGGUGCCUUGCCACACCAGUCGGGAACUUCUGCUCUGCAAAGUCCAAAGACUAAGCUAAAGUUUAGCCAUUCUCCACUAAGUCCUCCAUGGCCACCACGCAGCCACACCUUCAGACACCAAGACAAGUCCUCCUUCUCCGUGUCCCACAGUGCCUUGUCUCCUGAGAUGACAAGCUCCUUGGCACCAGAGAUGGUAUCUUUCUCAUCUUUGCCUCCUCGGAGAUACAGUACACUAUACACUGUACAGUGCAUAGUACACAGGAGAAGAGGCACAAGAAUGUGGAAUAUGUGACCCAUGUACAUGAAGAUAUUCCUGGUUCACUCAAAAGUACGAUUUUGAGAAGCCCACCUAGAGUCAGAAGGCCCUUGAAAGAUGCAGACCCUCAACUUUGGACUUCCCAGCCUCUAGAACUGUAAG
Molecule: long non-coding RNA, 787 nt
Filed under: Homo sapiens (human)
Lineage: Eukaryota; Metazoa; Chordata; Mammalia; Primates; Hominidae
Description: HSALNT0392705
Source: RNAcentral